RNAcentral lists this ribosomal RNA (390 nucleotides) under Bacillus sp. RKMP03. Its description in RNAcentral is "bacterial SSU rRNA". The stretch from base 8 to 352 matches the Rfam family "Bacterial small subunit ribosomal RNA", at positions 46 to 392 of the family's 1533-position model. The record is from RNAcentral. Lineage: Bacteria; Bacillati; Bacillota; Bacilli; Caryophanales; Bacillaceae.
CGCCCCGGCUUAAAAGUUCAAAUACCAAGCGACAGAUGGGGACUUUGCUCCGGAUGUUAGCGGCGGACCGGUGAGUUACACGUGGGUAACCUGCCUGUAAGACUGGGAUAACUCCGGGAAACCGCACUAAUACAGGAUAGUUCCUUGAACCGCAUGGUUCAAGGAUGAAGACGGUUUCGGCUGUCACUUACUAUGGACCCCCGGCGCAUUAGCUAGUUGGUGGGGUAAUGGCUCACCAAGUGACGAUGCGUAGCCUACCUGAGAGGGUGAUCGGCCACACUGGGACUGAGACACGGCCCCACUCCUAUGGAGGCAGAGUAGGGAAUUUCCCAUGUACGACGUCUGACUGAGCACACCCGUGAUGAUGAAGGUUCCAUCUAAGCCUGUUUU